This 468-nucleotide ribosomal RNA is filed under the name uncultured bacterium. RNAcentral's name for it is "partial 16S ribosomal RNA". It matches the Rfam family "Bacterial small subunit ribosomal RNA", at positions 28 to 507 of the family's 1533-position model. The record is from RNAcentral.
GACGAACGCUGGCGGCGUGCUUAACACAUGCAAGUCGAACGGAAAGGCCCUGCUUUUGUGGGGUGCUCGAGUGGCGAACGGGUGAGUAACACGUGAGUAACCUGCCCUUGACUUUGGGAUAACUUCAGGAAACUGGGGCUAAUACCGGAUAGGAGCUCCUGCUGCAUGGUGGGGGUUGGAAAGUUUCGGCGGUUGGGGAUGGACUCGCGGCUUAUCAGCUUGUUGGUGGGGUAGUGGCUUACCAAGGCUUUGACGGGUAGCCGGCAUGAGAGGGUGACCGGCCACAUUGGGCCUGAGAUACGGCGCAGACUCCUACGGGAGGCAGCAGUGGGGAAUAUUGCACAAUGGGCGGAAGCCUGAUGCAGCAACGCCGCGGGCGGGAUGACGGCCUUCGGGUUGUAAACCGCUUUCGCCUGUGACGAAGCGUGAGUGACGGUAAUGGGUAAAGAAGCACCGGCUAACUACGUG